GCAGCAAAGUAUUUGGCAUAGGAAACAUUCAUCAACACCAAUCAAUUGCACUAAAUUCUUGUCAACCGUGAGUGUGAUAUGUAAUCUAUGAGUCACUAGGAAUAAAACAUGAGGAUUUAACUGCAGGGAUUUUAAGCAUGCCUGCUGAUAAAGUCAGCAAGCACAUCUGCUGGUGAGCUGCUUUGGAGAUACUCUUUUAAGUUGUGUUGUUUCAACUACUCUGAGAAAUACAGUGUAUUGCAUUCCUACAAUUCCAAAUCUUAAGUAAACUACUAGAUUAUCCCUGGAGGUGUUCAAGACCAGGUUGGAUGGGCCCUGGGAAGCCUGUUCUAGUACCAGAUCUGGAGACUCCCAUUAAAGAAGGAAGAAAGACAUUCAAGAAAUGGACCCUCUCCUGCCAGAGCCACUGCUCCCUCCAGAGCUCAGCCCUCUACUGUGAUGAAUUACUACUUAAUCCAAGUAAUUUAUUUUCCAGAUUAAUAUUGAACUUGAAUUUAUUGUGAAAUAAAUAAAUAAAUGCAUUAUAGGCUAGAUUUUUU
Molecule: long non-coding RNA, 539 nt
Filed under: Coturnix japonica (Japanese quail)
Lineage: Eukaryota; Metazoa; Chordata; Aves; Galliformes; Phasianidae
Description: lncRNA (ENSCJPG00005019428.1)
Source: RNAcentral